Molecule: small nucleolar RNA, 134 nt
Organism: Dunckerocampus dactyliophorus (ringed pipefish)
Lineage: Eukaryota; Metazoa; Chordata; Actinopteri; Syngnathiformes; Syngnathidae
Product: small nucleolar RNA SNORA15
Exons: 1
Source: RefSeq, a predicted model, not a curated record
GCAUGGAUGAAUUCUGUUCCAACUCAGUGUGGUGGACACAGCCAGACACCAUGCAAGAGUAUUACCUCAUAUCUAUGAAAAGAGUGCAUGUGCUGCCCUCAGCUUCAUACAUCUGCAUAGGUAUGAGUACAGUU